CUAAUGAGCUUCAUGGCAUAGUGAAAACAUGACUUUGAAUUCAGGUAGCCUUCCACUCCGUGCCACUCAGAAGCUAUGUGACCUCAUACAAGUCAUUAUAUUUCUCUCAAUCUGUUUUCUCAUUUGUAAAAUGAGCACAGCUUUCAAGAGGAUGUUGAAGAUGUAAUGAGGAAUGUUGAUUAUGCCUGGCAUGGAGCAAGUCAUUUAACCAAUGUUGACUUCCCAUCUCCCAUAUCCAGUCCUGUAUCCUCAACAGACUGCUUAGUUGGUGGUAUAUCUCAGCAACCUGAAGUUAUCCUGAGAACAAACGUCACUGCCAUGGAAACAGUAAUGUGGAUGCACUGGAUGGGGUCAGCUGCGUCACAGUGGAUCAUUUUCUUGUUAGCAUCUGGCCAAAGUGAUGUGAGUACCACGGGCUUCCUGAAUGACGCUGCACAGGCCCAUCUGCAAGUUACAAGGACCAAAUUGAAAAUAGAUCAUGGAGACACUAGUUGGAUCCUCUGCCUUCCCUUGAAAGAUCCACGGUGGGUUUGUCUCCUGAGACAUACUAUUGCUGGGACUUUUUUUUUCUUUUAAUUUUUUCUUAUCUUUUUUUUCUUCUUAUCUUUUAAGAUGUCUUUUUUUUUGUAUUUCAUUUUUACCCUAAGACAAAAUAUUUUUCUCUUUUUUUCUCUCAGUGAUUAAAAUCUUCCCAUCAACCAGAUGUUCCUAAGGGAGAUACACGCUGCAAGGUUUGGCAGGGCGGGGGUGUGAAUAAAUGUACAUUGAUGGAGGCAGUAGUCACUGAGCACAGGCUGUCUGAUGACCUCAAAAUCACGUCCCUGAUUAAUCAUGAUCUGAGUAGGCAAAGACAUGGGAUCACACACACGAUGACAAUGACUUCCAUUAAUUGCAAUGACCCUGUUUUAGCCUCAGGACCUUGCACUGGCUGUGUUUUCCACCAGGAAUGUGCUGCAAUCUGCGCUUGGUGUCUGUCUCAUUGUUCCUUUCUCUACUUGAAUGUCUCCUAUUCUAGGAACCCAUCCCUGAUCAUUCAAAAAGAACUUGCCUCUUUUACUCUCAAAUCACCUUGCUUUAUCUUCCUCAUCAAAUUAGAGCUUUCUCAAAUUCCCAUUUAUUAAUGACUUUAUGGUCUAUUUCUCAUCUGUACAAAAUAGGCUCCAGAGAGCAAGAACUUUGUCUUGUUCACUGCUGUAUCGUCAGUGCCCAGGACAGUGCCUGACAUAGGCACUAUCCUAAGUGUUUUAUAAUGAUUGUGUCAUUGAUUGCUAAAUGAUAGCCUUUUGUUGAAAUCAUUACUGGAAGUGUAAUUCAGUUGUUCAAAAUCAUAGCACUGUUAGUUAGUAGCAAAUCAACCAUUCAAAUUGAGGCUGGUUGGGUUUGAAGGCCCAGGCUUUUAACCACUCUGCUAAACUGCCUCCCCUGGCAUACAGCAUUAAUUUUGGAAGCGAUCUGGGCCCUUGUGUUGCCAGACUUCACUAGACUGUCAGCCCUGGAGAGCCAGAGACAGAGUCUGUUGCAUCCACAGCACUCAGCACUGUUUGCCACAUGGUAGCCAUUCAAUAAAUAGUAAAUGCUCAAACAGUAUUUGUAGAUAGAUGGACAGAUGGGUGAGUGGGUGGGUGGUUGAGUGAAUGGACGGGUGGAUGAAUGGAUGAAUGGAAGGGAGGAAGGAAAGAAGAAAAGAAAGGGAAGAAAGAAGGAAGGGUAGGUAGAGGGAUAGAUGAAUUGUUGGAUGGAUGCAUGGGCUAAUGAAUAUAGGGAUAAAUAGGUGGGUGUGUAGAUAGGUGGGUAGAUGAAUAGGGAAACAGAGUCCCAG
Molecule: long non-coding RNA, 1819 nt
Filed under: Macaca fascicularis (crab-eating macaque)
Lineage: Eukaryota; Metazoa; Chordata; Mammalia; Primates; Cercopithecidae
Description: lncRNA (ENSMFAG00000064320.1)
Source: RNAcentral